GUCACUUUAGCUUAGUGGUAGAGCGUCUGCUGUGUAAGCAGAAGGUCGUCAGUUUAAUCCUGGCAACGGGCU
Non-coding RNA from Perkinsus marinus ATCC 50983, 72 nucleotides. Lineage: Eukaryota; Perkinsozoa; Perkinsida; Perkinsidae. The record is from Rfam.